CGGGGGAGGCCAGAUCCUGGGCUGUGUCCCGGCGCCCUGUGCUCCCGGCCUGCGCUGAUGAUUGGCGCUCCGGCCCCGCAGCCCCCU
Molecule: microRNA precursor, 87 nt
Filed under: Canis lupus familiaris (dog)
Lineage: Eukaryota; Metazoa; Chordata; Mammalia; Carnivora; Canidae
Also listed under: 1 other name
Description: mir-8799 microRNA precursor family
Rfam family: mir-8799 microRNA precursor family
Source: Rfam by way of RNAcentral